Molecule: ribosomal RNA, 141 nt
Filed under: uncultured eukaryote
Lineage: Eukaryota
Description: partial 18S ribosomal RNA
Rfam family: Eukaryotic small subunit ribosomal RNA
Source: RNAcentral
UGGUGGAGUGAUUUGUCUGGUUAAUUCCGAUAACGAACGAGACCCCGUCCUACUUACUAGACUUGAGAUGAUUUUCAUCUCUUGAAUCUUCUUAGAGGGACAAAUGGCGUAAAUCUAGCUACAUGAAAUGGGGCAAUAACA